ACGCCGAGCCAGCAGGAGUGGAAGCGAAGUCUCUUGUAAGCCACGGGACUCAUUUGCUGGCUUUAGCAAAUCCAUGGAUUCAUUUCUUUUACUGGUCCUGUCUCCGGGUGUACCAGGACUAUUCACCACAGGUGAACAACUAAUGGAAUCCAGUGCAAUGAACAAGUGUUUGGGGCUCCUCAUCUCCUUUUUUCUCAAACUUCAACUUGGCUCUUCAAAAUAACAUAAUUAAGACAGCAGCCCCGGUUCUGGAAGGCCUUGAAGACAAAAUGACACUUCCUUUUGAGAGCAUGAUGGGUAGGGGGAGAAGUCACCCUGUAUAUUCAGGCAAAUACUGCAGAAAGCCUGUCAUGGCUUGGCUAUGGUAUGACAGUAAGUAGGUGCGUGGUGGAAGCAGGAUUUGCACCCAGGUCUGUCUGGUGCCGGAGCCCAUGCACAUGCAGGCCCACGGCCAUCCCCAGCAUUAAUAGGAGGCAUUCAG
This is a long non-coding RNA of Myotis davidii, 481 nucleotides long. RefSeq lists it as uncharacterized. The record is from RefSeq and is a predicted model, not a curated record. The transcript has 3 exons. Lineage: Eukaryota; Metazoa; Chordata; Mammalia; Chiroptera; Vespertilionidae.